Molecule: long non-coding RNA, 1450 nt
Organism: Esox lucius (northern pike)
Lineage: Eukaryota; Metazoa; Chordata; Actinopteri; Esociformes; Esocidae
Source: Ensembl
UUUACACCGAUCAGCCGUAACAUUAUGACCACCUGCCUCAUAUUUACACCGAUCAGCCAUGGCAUUAUGACCACCUGCCUCAUAUUGUGUCGGUCCCCCUUUUGCCACCAAAAAAGCCCUGACCCGUCAAGGCAUGGACUCCACUAGACCUCGGAAGGUGUGCUGUGGUAUUUGGCACCAAGACGUUAGCAGCAGGUCUUGUAAGUUACGGGGUGGGGCCUCCAUGGAUCGGACCUGUUUGUCCAGUACAUCCCACAGAUGAUCAGCUGGAUUGAGAUCUGGGGAACUUGGAGGCCAAGUCAACACCUUGAAUCUACCUCCACCGGCUUGCCUUCUUCCCAUAGUGCAUCCUGGUGCCAUGUGUUCUGCAGGUAAGCGAUGCACACACACCCAGCCAUCCACGCAAUGUAAAAAGAAACCUGAUUCAUCAGACCAGGCCACCUUCUUGCUCCAUGGUCCAGUUCUGAUGCUAACCUGCCCAUUGUAGGCACUUUCGGCAGUGGACUGGUGUCAGUAUGGGCACCCUGACUGGUCUGCGGAUACACAGCCCCAUACACAACAAACUGUGAUACACUGUGUGUUCUGACACCUUUCUAUCAGAACCAGCAUGAACUUUUUCAGCAAUUUGAGCUAAAGUAGCUCGUCUGUUGGAUCAGACCACACGGGCCUGUCUAAAGACUUGUUGCUGCCACUGUCCAAAGUCCUGCUGGCUGUGUUGACCACCCCUCCAGCCUCCCCCAUUUCAUAGUUAGGAUGUUUUUAAUAUUAUUUUACAAUGUGGAAAAUGUUUAAACUAAAAAAAAGAACUUGAAUGAGUAGGUGUGUCAAAUGCUUGACUGGUACUGUAUGUUUCAGGUUUGGUCCUCACAACAAUUGUGCUACUAACGUGUGUUUAUAAAAGUGUGUUUGUGUGUGUGUGAGUGUUUGCGUGUGUGUGUGUCUGUUCUGUGUGUGUUUUUAUGGCUGUGUAUGUGUGUCUGGUCUGUAUGUGUGUGUGGGGGGGGGUCUGUGUGUGUGUGUGUGUCCAUAUGUUUCUGCAUGUGGGGUUCAGUGGGAUUAUAUAAGGACAGAGCUCCCAUGUCAGUCAGUCAGAGUCUCAGCAGAACCACCACUCUGUAAUCCCCUUAUCACACACACACACACACACACACACGCACAAACACACCCAUUGACACACACACAAAUGAAUAGAGUGUGUGUGCAUGUGUUUGUACGCGGUUCCCCUGUGUUAAUUGAGUGCAAACAGCCGGGCAGAGUACCACAGGAAAACUGAAUUUCUCUACAUCACCACCGAAAAUGUUUGAUAAUGGCCAGUAGUUGGAAAUGGAGUUGAAAUGGGUUGGAAUUCUUAAAUGAACACAGGCAACAUUUAUUCACCCAGCUGCAUCUCAAAGAGUACAUAAAGUUUUCAUUUGUUUUGGCACUUUCAAAAGACUUUGCACUGGUCAGA